GACGAACGCUGGCGGCGUGCUUAACACAUGCAAGUCGAACGGUAAGGCCCUUCGGGGUACACGAGUGGCGAACGGGUGAGUAACACGUGAGCAAUCUGCCCUUGACUCUGGGAUAACUGCGGGAAACUGUAGCUAAUACCGGAUACGAGACCUGAAGGCAUCUUCGGGUCUGGAAAGAAUUUCGGUCAAGGAUGAGCUCGCGGCCUAUCAGCUUGGUGGUGAGGUAAUGGCUCACCAAGGCGACGACAGGUAGCCGGCCUGAGAGGGUGACCGGCCACACUGGGACUGAGACACGGCCCAGACUCCUACGGGAGGCAGCAGUGGGGAAUAUUGCACAAUGGGCGAAAGCCUGAUGCAGCAACGCCGCGUGAGGGAUGAAGGCCUUCGGGUUGUAAACCUCUUUUAGCAGGGAAGAAGCGAAAGUGACGGUACCUGCAGAAAAAGCACCGGCUAACUACGUGCCAGCAGCCGCAGUAA
Molecule: ribosomal RNA, 477 nt
Filed under: uncultured bacterium
Lineage: Bacteria
Description: partial 16S ribosomal RNA
Rfam family: Bacterial small subunit ribosomal RNA
Source: RNAcentral